This 2278-nucleotide long non-coding RNA is filed under the name Sus scrofa (pig). RNAcentral describes it as "lncRNA (ENSSSCG00015074575.1)". Lineage: Eukaryota; Metazoa; Chordata; Mammalia; Artiodactyla; Suidae. The record is from RNAcentral.
AAAGAUAGAAACCAUUUUUAAAAAGUAAAAAGAGGGAGUUCCUAUCAUGGCUCAGUGGAAAUGAAUCUGACUAGUAUCCAUGAGGACACAGGUUCGAUCCCUGGCCUCACUCAGUGGGUUAAGGAUCACGCAUUGCCGUGAGCUGUGGUGUAGGUCACAGACGCAGCUUGGAUCUGGCGUUGCUGUGGCUGUGGUGUAGGCCAAUGGCUACAGCUCCAAUUUGACCCCUAGGCUGGGAACCUCCAUAUGCUGCAGGUGUGGCCCUAAAAAAACAAAAACAAAAACAAGUAAAAACAAAGUGGGGUAGACCUAAACAGAAGUUCCCUUCAGGGAACAAUAAGUAUGUUUGCUUGACCUUUGCUGAAUAUUUGUGGUCAAGAAUAAAAAUACAGGAGCAAGAAGAGUGUAGGAAUAUAGGAGGAAGAAAAGAGUAUUGCAAAAGACUAGAAACUUUAAGGCUUGCAGGUGUUUAAAGAAGUUAUUUUUUUUUUUCCCUAUGUGGGAUGAAAAGCACAGGAAUGGGGAGACUGAAUACUGGAAAGGCCAAGAGGAUACUUAGAAGACCCAAGUGUGAGGAGGACUAGCCCAGAUGUGCCACAUUGGUAAGGGGGCCUUGUAGAUUGGUUGACUGAAACUGGGAAAUCAGAAGAGAAAUGACAGCUUUCUAUCAGCAUCUUAAGUGGAAAAUGCAUCAGAAUCACCUGAUAGGCAUAUGGAACAUUCAGUUGUAAGGCCUCACCUAGACCUUCUGAGUCUUAAUUUCUAUGAGAAGACCCAGUACUAUCAGGGUUUUACAAGCUCUCCAGAAGAUGCUGAUACAGCUCCUGGUUAAGAAAUGCUGGGAGAAAGUAGUUGAUGGACUUAAUUAGCGUUUAUAUUGUUCGAAUCACCUAGUUGGAAUGUUCUCUAGAGACAGACAAAUAAUCAUUAAAAAAUAAUUUGGGUGACAAUAUUUAUUAUUUUAGUGAAUAUUCAUUGAAUACAUAUUAAGUGUGAUGCAUAUAAGUGCUGAAGACACAAAGAUGAAGGAAAUACAGUUCCUGCCCUCAAGGAGCUAUUAGUCUAUUGAACAAAACAAACAAAACAAAACAAACAGUACAGUAUGUCCAUGUACUGAGUGUUAUCGGAACAUGGGUGGAAAUGAAGGUAUUAAGGAAGGCUUACUGGAAGGGGUGUCCCCUAAACUGAAAACUAGUCUAGAACAAGAGGUGUCAGACCUAGCCUGCUGCCUGUUUUGGUAAAAAAAAAGCUUUAUCAGAACCAUACCAUGUUUAUUCAUUUGUGUAUUGUCUGUGGGUGCCUUAGGACUUCACCUAGAGAGCUAAGUAGUUAUGAUCCUGUGACCCACAGUGCCUCAUUCAUUACAAAAGGUCUGCUAACUGCUGAUGUAAUAGACCAAAGGGGAGGAGAGAAGCCAUUCUAGAAAGUGGGGAUGGUGUGAUGUAUGGUACUGUUCGAGGCAGAGGAAGGAUGCGACAUGAAACUGGGGAGGGAGGCAGGAAUAAGAUCCUUCAAGACUGUGCCCCUAUCUUGGGAAACGUGGGCUUUCUCCAGUGCGGGGGGAGUCAGUGCAGGAUUUUAAGCAGGAACACUCGAGUCAGAUGAACUUAGAUCGAUUUAUUCUGUUUGCUUCAUAGAAUAUAGAUUUAUAGGGGGAAGACUAUAGGAAAUGGGAGGUUUGAAGGAAUAAUUUGUGCAAAAAUUAAUGAAGGAUUAAAAGUGUGACCAUAAAUCUAUAAAUUUAUAAAAUGGAAUAUUAUAUCAUGGUUACAAUGAGGUACAUCUAAAGUAUACUGAUAAGGAAAGAAAAGCUACAGAAUGUUCAGUAAAAUAAUCAAGGAAACUGCAUACACAAACAUGGAAAACAUGUGUUAAUGUAUGCCUAGGAAAAAAUGGAAAGAGGAGUUCCCGUUAUGGCUCAGUGGGAUCGAACCUGCAACCUCAUGGGCCCUAGUUGGAUUCGUUAACCACUGCGCCACAACAGGAACUCCGUUAAUAUGUUUCCUUCUGAUAACUUCUAUAAAAGUCUUUUUCUCCCUUACAAAUAUUAUGUCCCCCCACUUGCAUUUAUUAAAAAUUUUAAAGAAGAAUUUUUAUCACCAGGCUGAAAGCUUAUUUCAACCACAAAUACUGAAUCAUCUUCUUGAUCGUCCUUUUAAGUCCUUCUCUGACUUAUUUAGUUGUACUGCCUUUAGUACAUUAUCCUGCUUUUACCAAGUGUGUAUUUCUCCUUAUGCCAGGUAAAAUCCACUCUUAUUAGCAGACAUUCUUUCUAAAC